Molecule: long non-coding RNA, 4921 nt
Organism: Hyla sarda
Lineage: Eukaryota; Metazoa; Chordata; Amphibia; Anura; Hylidae
Exons: 5
Source: RefSeq, a predicted model, not a curated record
UUGGUGGUGGCAGAUAUUAUACAGCUGCUGAACUGUUCAGAGUAGUCAGUAUAGUGUCCAUGGUAUUACAUUAGGGAACAGGACCCUAAUGGCCAGAUGUACUGAUCCUGAGUUAUAUCCUGUAUUAUACUCCAGAGCUGUACUCACUAUUCUGCUGAGCUGGACGAGGCAGGACAUCGCUGCGGCCGGUGAUAGGUUGAAGCUCCGUGUGACGUGCCGGGCUAACAGGAAGUAAGAAGAAUACAGCCCGGGGACCAAACACCAGUAUCGGAGCUCCGGGGGCUCAUUGGCAGCUAUGUUGCAGUGAGGUCAAGUUCUGAGAGAGUGUCUGGUGUCCUGAGGAGGUCUGAAGCCUACCAUGCAGCCACGCAUCCAAAAGUCUACUACCCCACAGGUGAACGUCAAAACCUGGAUUAUACAUACAUAUCUUUGGAGACUAUAUGGCCCUGCAUGCUAACUUGAGACAACACCUUAUUCCAGACAUCUGAAGGAAUUUUUUGAGAUAAGAAGAUUUACCUGGUUCUUCGAAUGGUGGAAUGCUUCCUAGAAAGAAAAGAAAAGUUAUGGAAACAUCUAAAAAAAUGUAAAUCAUCUUUAAAAAGAGACACCAUUAAUUCAACAGUAUGUGCGAGAAUCAUCUCCAAAGAUGUGAAAAAUAAAAUAAAAAUUAUUAUCAGAAAUAUCAGACAAGACGAAUGGGUGUGUCGACUGCCCCGUCGUCAGACAUUGACGGUGGAAAAAAAUUAAAUGUCAGCGGUAUCGGGCAGCAUUGCACUCCACAGUCUUCCCUACACACACGGUAGAAGCCUUUGGACUAUAUAUGUAUAUAUAUAUAUGUGUAGAUGGCCAUGACACUACUGCAAUGGUCUGUGUUAAACAUGUGCUGGUCACUCACGUUAUCCAUGAGAAAAAAAAGUUCUAUACCACUAGCCCAGAUCAGCACAGGUGCUCAGACGAGCCCAGAUCAGCACAGGUGCUCAGACGAGCCCAGAUCAGCACAGGUGCUCAGACGAGCCCAGAUCAGCACAGGUGCUGAAGUCAUAUUAUCACUGAGCAACAGGAAUAGGUUAGUCAGUCUGCCUAGAUCAAUGCUUCCUAACCAGGGUGCCCUCAGCUAUUGCAAAACCACAACUCCCAGCAUGCCCGGACAGCCUUCGGCUGUCCGGGCAAGCUGGAAGUUGUAGUUUUGCAACAGCUGGAGGCACCCUGGUUGGAAAACACUGUGCUAUACACUUCAUCUACAGUGUGUUGUGAUAGACAAGCAGGGAAGGCCCCAGAAUACUGGGAGUGGGUGCUUGGUUAUAGUAUAUACGUCAAAGUACUGCACUGCUGUGUAGCAUCAGGUUAAGUGUCAUGGAGGUGCCUUGUUGCACACAACGCAAGAAACAAGGCGACACGACAACAGUUCCCAAAACUUCCUACCGUCCAAUGGGCUCUAGACUGAACGCGGUCGCCCGUUUGGCUUCAUACAGAUUACAGGGGGUUCUUGGGAACCUACCAUAGUCCAUUCGAGCAAUAUGUAUAUAAUAAAGAACAGUGUUACAUCAACAAUAACUGCUACCCCCCUCCCUCCCCCUUAACACCAAAAAGUAUAUAACCUAGCCGGGUAUUUUUUUAACAUUGCAAACAGAAGGAAGGGCUGCUACUAACCUCUUCUACGUUACGUGCGUUUAGGAAUAAGCCAACAAUUCUUGCUCAAAUUACCUUUCUGAAAUCAAACGAGACACUAAAAAAAAAAAGAAAAAAUUAAAAUAAAACAAAAUAAUAAUAAAAAAAUGUAAAAAAAAAAAAGAUUUUUAUUCUUCCGUAUAUAUAUGUGCCAAGCUGUCUUUUGCGCACGUCCUGGAUGCAGGCAGAACAGGCGCUACAAAAAAAAAAAUACACGACACCAAUGGCAGACGGCGUGUCUAACGUCAGAAAGGUAUCAGGAAAAGUGCAGCUUUACACAGUCAUGUGAAAUAAAUGAGACUAGAGGUUACUUGAAAUUCAACGUCCAGAGAAUACGCUUAGUGAAAGAAAACGUUUCAACAAAGCCCCGGUGAGCGGGAACGGUUUUUUAUCUCCUCUCACCAGCUAUAUAUAAAGUGAUAAAAAACAGAAAAAAUGACAAAAAAAAAAUAAAAGAAGAAGAAAAAAAAAAAUUGUAUGAAAAUCUAAGAAAAAAAAAUUAUUAUAAUAAUAAAAAGAAAUAAUAGUAAUUGAAAAAAAAAAAAGAAGAAAUCAAUAUGGUAAUUGAUAGUGGAGAAUUAAGUGGAUGUUCACGUGUGAUUAAAAUUUGUUGUAAUUGUGAAAUGCGGUAAAAAAAAAAAAAUUAUAUACAAAAAUGUAUUAAAUUGUGACGGCUUAAAAAAGAAAAAAAAAAUAAGAAAAAAUAAUAAGUCACAAGUUGACACUUUGGGUGGGAACUGGGUGUUUAUCCCCCUGUGAAAUAUCAGGACAGGUUCCCCCCGCAUGAAUAGUUUUGCCCUCUGUUACCCUGUGGUCAUUAAUGUGCAUGAUCCUCGGCCACGGCGAUAAGGAAUUCAUGAAAAGUCCAUCCAGGUGGCCAUAGUAGUAAACAGAGGGGAAUUUUUUUCGUCACGAUUCCUGGGUCGAAUGCCCCCCAGGACAUGGUAUUUGAUAACAAUGCCUAAAAAAUAGAAGAGAAGAAAGCAGCAGGGCAUCGGCUGAUGCCGCCAUCAGAAAGUGGCUUGGUACGACUCCCGUUAUUCUCAGCGAGGUGAAGAAUGGGAAGCGGAUGCCUGAAGCCUUUUUAUGCCGCCGAAUGGUAUUUUUUGAGGUUUGUAAAAGAUCAUUGUAACGUUACCUCCCUUCUUUCGUAUUACAUUUAGAGAAAAAAAUAAAAUAAAAUUGGAAAAAAAAAAACAAAAAAACCACAAACACGUGCAAUGUAAAGGGCUGCUCAGAGCAGCGCAACACUGCAGUAUCAUGACGCCAGCCGUACGCUGGAUAAAUCGGCUCAGCUCUGCGGAGUACAGGUCGCUUCUAGUCAAGGUGGGUGGAGAAUACUAAUAUAAAAGGGCACGGACUGCGGUAUCGGAACCAUUUUGUUUUUAUUCUGACAACCCCUCCUGUUCUAGGUGGGUGGAUGAGGCGUAUACCAAGUGGGUCCAUAAUGCUUUGCUUAAAGGGGUACUCCGCCCCCUAGACAUCUUAUCCCCUCCCAGUUUAAGUCAAUGGGGCUGUCUGUGAAGUUUAGAAUAGGACAAACUUAUUUACUAAUAAGGUAUGUAGAACCCUAUGUAGAAAGGCUAUGCUCACACGUCGGAAUGUCAGCAGACAGCGGGCGACAGCAGAACAUGCUGGCGCUAGGACUGCUGGGAAAUGCGCCUUCUCCAGAAAUGGCAAAGCAUUUCCGAGCCGAUUCCGGAAAAAAAAAAAAAGAAUUGACAUGUCGGAAUCGGAAUUUCUGUGGCAGAUAUAUCCGCCGUGUGCACAGUGCAGCAGAAUCCCGUGAAAUCAAUGGGAUUUUGCUGCAACAGAAUCUUUUUGCCACAUCUGGAGGUCCACAGUUUGGAGACCUCUGGUCUUCAUAUAUUAGUCAGACUAGAACGGUGACUAGCGCCAAAUUAUGACACAGUGGGAGUUGUAGUUUUGCAACAUCUGGAGGUCCACAACGCUAUGGUAUAUGCAGCAGUGGCUUAUUUAAAGGAGAUCUCUGGGAUAUUAAAACUUAUCCCCCAUCCUAAGGAUUGAGGAUACGUUUCAGAUCGCGGUGGGUUGGACUGCUGGGGCCCCCCGCGAUCUACCGUACAGGGCCCCUGGCUCUUUGCCGAAAUAGCGCGUUUCGACCACUGUAUGACGCGGCGGCUGACACCCCCCCUCAAUGCAUCUCUAUGGUAGAGCUGGAGACUGCCAAAUGCAUAGAGAUGUAUUGAGGGCGCAUGUCGGCAGCGCCGCGUCAUGUGGUAGUCGGACACGCCCCCUUGCCUUUGACUAUCAGAGCACCGUACGGGAGAUCGCGUGGGGGCCCCGGCGGUCAGACCCCCCCGCGUUCUGAAACUCAUCCCCUAUCCUUAGGAUAGGGGAUAAGUUUUCAUAUCCCGGAUUAUUCCUUUAACCAUAUCCCUUGUAAAUACACGAAAAACCAUUGAUAACCACACAUGGUAACGUUUCCGAUGCAGGUGGAGAAUAAAAAUAAAAUAAUAAAAUCCUAAAAAGGGGGACUACCAUACCACCGUACAGUCCGUAGAGGACCGCAUAGAGACAACUUAAAAAGACGGACUAAGAAUAUCGAAAGCGUUUCGAAAAAAUCGUUCCUACAUUUCUAGUGAUGGGUGCAGAGCGAUAGGCUGCGAGCCCCCUCUCAUACAGAGAAAAAGCCGAUGGGUGUUUUUUUUUUUUUUUAAGAGAAAAAAAAAAAUGUAAUUUUUCGUUAGUUUUGGAGAGGUGGACACGAGAGCUAAUAUCUUGCCCUCUCCUGUUCUAGUGAAAUUACACGUCCGGAGUACAGGUUUCAGAAUCACCACAAACCUCCCCCCCAGCAGCGGCAGCGUUCUCGAAGAAUACUGGUUCUGCUUAGGAUGCAAAUGUGGCUUUUUUUAAAAUCGUUUUUUAACUAAAUAUAUAUUUAUAGGUUACAUAAAUAGAUCUCUCUCUCUCUCUCUCUGCCUCUCUCUGUACAUAAAGUCUGUGCACAAACGUAUGCAUAUUCACAAUAUACACAGUGAGCCUUGUCAGACGAGUCCUCCAUGCGCGCACACGGACCGUGGUAUCCGCACGCGUAGCGGCAGAUAACAUCUAUGCACGUACAAUCAUUCACAGUACAUCUUCGCCUAAACUGAGGUUUAACCUUUUUUUUCUCUUCGCGACGUCAAGCAACGUGUGCAAGUUUUUUUGUUUUUUUUUUCUGCCGGACCGGGUUAUAUCAUUUGCUACCAGUAGGGGGAGUAUUAUUCAGAAUUCUCCUUUUUCUCCAUUU